RNAcentral lists this ribosomal RNA (429 nucleotides) under bacterium. Its description in RNAcentral is "partial 16S ribosomal RNA". It matches the Rfam family "Bacterial small subunit ribosomal RNA", at positions 355 to 776 of the family's 1533-position model. The record is from RNAcentral.
UAGGGAAUCUUCCACAAUGGACGCAAGUCUGAUGGAGCAACGCCGCGUGAGUGAAGAAGGUUUUCGGAUCGUAAAGCUCUGUUGUUGGUGAAGAAGGAUAGAGGUAGUAACUGGCCUUUAUUUGACGGUAAUCAACCAGAAAGUCACGGCUAACUACGUGCCAGCAGCCGCGGUAAUACGUAGGUGGCAAGCGUUGUCCGGAUUUAUUGGGCGUAAAGCGAGCGCAGGCGGAAGAAUAAGUCUGAUGUGAAAGCCCUCGGCUUAACCGAGGAACAGCAUCGGAAACUGUUUUUCUUGAGUGCAGAAGAGGAGAGUGGAAUUCCAUGUGUAGCGGUGGAAUGCGUAGAUAUAUGGAAGAACACCAGUGGCGAAGGCGACUCUCUGGUCUGCAACUGACGCUGAGGCUCGAAAGCAUGGGUAGCGAACAGG